Molecule: non-coding RNA, 72 nt
Organism: Salmo salar (Atlantic salmon)
Lineage: Eukaryota; Metazoa; Chordata; Actinopteri; Salmoniformes; Salmonidae
Source: Rfam
UCCCGUGUGGCUGAGUUGGUAGAGCAUGGCGCUUGCAACGUCAGGGUCAUGGGUUUAAUUCCCACAGGGGAC